UACGAAGGGGGCUAGCGUUGCUCGGAAUCACUGGGCGUAAAGGGUGCGUAGGCGGGUCUUUAAGUCAGGGGUGAAAUCCUGGAGCUCAACUCCAGAACUGCCUUUGAUACUGAGGAUCUUGAGUUCGGGAGAGGUGAGUGGAACUGCGAGUGUAGAGGUGAAAUUCGUAGAUAUUCGCAAGAACACCAGUGGCGAAGGCGGCUCACUGGCUCGUUUCUGACGCUCAGGCGCGACAGCGUGGGGAUCAAACAGG
Molecule: ribosomal RNA, 253 nt
Filed under: uncultured bacterium
Lineage: Bacteria
Description: partial 16S ribosomal RNA
Rfam family: Bacterial small subunit ribosomal RNA
Source: RNAcentral